Molecule: ribosomal RNA, 1662 nt
Filed under: Lovettia sealii (Tasmanian whitebait)
Lineage: Eukaryota; Metazoa; Chordata; Actinopteri; Galaxiiformes; Galaxiidae
Description: 16S ribosomal RNA
Rfam family: Bacterial large subunit ribosomal RNA (bases 107-1550)
Source: RNAcentral
GCUGACCAACUAGCCCACUCGAUUGAAUUUUAAUACACUAUUUGUACUUUCCAAAGGACUUAUACACCAAUUACCCAAAGCAUUUUUCCACCUUAGUACGGGAGACAGAAAAGGAACCAGGAGCAACAUAGUUAGUACCGAAAGGGAAAGUUGAAAUAGAAAUGAAACAACCACCCAAGCGCAAAGAAGCAGAGAUAUAUCCUCGUACCUUUUGCAUCAUGUUUUAGCCAGUACUACUUGAGCAAAGAGAACUUUAGUUCAAGCCCCCGAAACUAGACGAGCUACUCCGAGACAGCCUAUUAUAGGGCCAACCCGUCUCUGUGGCAAAAGAGUGGGACGAGCUCCGAGUAGAGGUGAAAAGCCUACCGAGCCUAGUGAUAGCUGGUUGUCUAAGAAAUGAAUGUAAGUUCAGCCCAUCCAGUUACCAUUCCACCUAAGCGAAGCUUGCUAUGGUGUGGGUAUACCUGAUGGAGUUAGUCAAAGGGGGUACAGCCCCUUUGAAUAGGGAUACAACCCUAAUGGAUGGCUAAGGAUCAUACUUAUUAAGGAGAUGUUUUUUAGUGGGCCUAAAGGCAGCCACCUAACUAGAAAGCGUUAAAGCUCAGACACCUUUACUUCCUAUUAUACCGAUAAAGAAUCCUACCCCCCCCCCCUAUUAGACCAUCCUAUGCACUCAUAGGAGUGACCAUGUUAGAAUGAGUAACAAGAGGGCUUAGCCCCUCUCCCUGCACCAGUGUAAGUCGGGUUGGACCACCCACCGAUAAUUAACGAACCCAGCGCCAGAGGGAAAUAAGAAUUAAGCAGACUACUAGAAGUCCUCAUAAUAUAUAAUCGUUUACCCUACACAGGAAUGCUUCAGGAAAGACUAAAUGGAAAAGAAGGAACUCGGCAAACAUAAGCCUCGCCUGUUUACCAAAAACAUCGCCUCUUGAAACACCAUAAUAAGAGGUCCUGCCUGCCCUGUGAUAAUAUUUUAACGGCCGCGGUAUUUUGACCGUGCAAAGGUAGCGCAAUCACUUGUCUUUUAAAUAGAGACCCGUAUGAAUGGCAAGACGAGGGCUAAACUGUCUCCUUUUCCCAGUCAGUGAAAUUGAUCUCCCCGUGCAGAAGCGGGGAUGUUCUCAUAAGACGAGAAGACCCUAUGGAGCUUUAGACACUAGAAAGCCCACGUAAAACAGCUUUUAAGCGGAACCUAGCGGUACCUUAUCUAAAUGUCUUCGGUUGGGGCGACCGCGGGGGAAAGAAGAGCCCCCAUGUGGACCGGGAGUAUUUCCUAAAUUUAAGAAUAACCCUUCUAAAAAACAGAAAUUCUGACCAAAUUGAUCCGGCAAAGCCGAUUAACGAAACCAGUUACCCUAGGGAUAACAGCGCAAUCCCCUCCCAGAGUCCAUAUCGACGAGGGGGUUUACGACCUCGAUGUUGGAUCAGGACAUCCUAAUGGUGCAGACGCUAUUAAGGGUUCGUUUGUUCAACGAUUAAAGUCCUACGUGAUCUGAGUUCAGACCGGAGUAAUCCAGGUCAGUUUCUAUCUAUGAUUUGACCUUUUCUAGUACGAAAGGACCGAAAAGAGGGGGUCCAUGCAAAAGUACACCCCACCCCUAACUAAUGAAACAAACUAAAUUAGGUAAAGGGACACACCCCCUAAGCCAAAGAUAACGGCAU